Long non-coding RNA from Numida meleagris (helmeted guineafowl), 11831 nucleotides. RefSeq lists it as uncharacterized. Lineage: Eukaryota; Metazoa; Chordata; Aves; Galliformes; Numididae. The transcript has 2 exons. The record is from RefSeq and is a predicted model, not a curated record.
GGCUGACGGGGAAACAAAGGGGAACAAAGCGACGGCGGCCGCGGCCGCGGCGGGCUCGUCCCUGGCGAAGGGUCGGGAUCGCCCUCAAAUUAACUGCGGUGUUGGGAAGGAGAUAUUUUUCGGGUCUGAAGGCGGAAGGAAUCGGGGUUGCGUUGCGCCGUUCGGUUUGCCCUAGGCCGGUAUCAAUCCCGACAAAAUCAGCUCUAAAAAUCGGGCGGGAGGGGUGCGGAGGACCCUUUGUCGGCGGAACGCGGCGCAGAGCGGUGCGGAGCGGCGCGGAGGGCCGCGGCCGGGACGGCCCCGUCGGUGCGCGGGGGCUCCGCUGGGCCCCGCCCGGGAACCGCGCCGUCCCUGCGCAGGGAGCGGAGCUCCGGCUGCGUCGGGAGCGAGGGGCGCCGCUCCGAGCGGCUCCUGAGUUUUGAAGGCUGUUCCGCGGGGUGCGAGUGAGGAGCGUUGGGGUGAAUCAUUCCCCCUUUAAAAAAAAUAAAAAUAGCGAGAAGUGGUACGUUUGGUAAUUAAAGCGUUUCAUCUGAAUAAAUAAUGCUUGUUAAGCGAGGUGGUCGGAGCGGCUCCGCGUGUGUGCGGUGCGCGGGCACUUGGCUUGUCGGGCUUUUCGGAAAGGCGGCCGUAGGCGCUGCUCUCGGAGCGGGGCUCGGCGCUGCCGGCCGUCGGUCCCCAGGCUCGACUGUGCUCCCCGCCGUGCCCCGGGGUGGGCGAGAGGGGAGGCAGGAGGAGGGCGGGGGGGCGGCCUGCGCGGAUCCCAACUUACUUCUUCACUUCGGCUUCACUACGUCCAGAAAAUUAUAUAUAUAUAUAUAUUUUUUUUUCUUAAAAAAAGGAGCACUUCUCCGUUUUUGUCAUUAAAAUAAUUCCCUAUAUUCAGGCACAGAGUUCUUGCUCACAAAUAUAUUAUUUGGCUACGAGGUAUGUUUUGCAGUGGUACAUCUUUUGCGACGAUACCUAUUUUGCUGUGAUAUCUGUAUUAUUAUAGUAUUGGGAUUGGAGCUCUCCCCUUAGCGUUCAGUAGCUCCCCGUGGGGCAGUGCCAUGCAUCUCGCCCCGAGCCAGGGCUGUGCCGUGCCGCUUUGCCGCAGUUCCGUCCCCCCGCGUUAUUUGUCGGCGGCAUUUUUAGGAGGACCGCAUCUCGGCGCUCCCUUCGCCGCCGCCGCCGCCCCUCUCUCCGCCGCUCGGAGCCGUACGGGUCCGCUCCCGGAGCGCGGAGGGGAGCGCCGUGAUUCAUGCGCCGGGGGUGGAACGGGAACAGCGGAACGCAAUGAACGGGCGUUACUACCGGCUCCGGCCAUUGUUACGGGAAAAGCUGCGAUAAAACUCCAGCGGGGGCUUUUCUAAACGGCGUGUCCCGUUUAACUUUUCACCAGAAGUCAAUGUCCUUUAAAAGCAGCGCCGAAGGUCCGAGGCAGUGAGGGGACCGCGGCGUUCCCGCUUGGAGCGGGGCGGUGCGGGGACGCUCGGUGGGACCCCCGGGCGGGGCGGGGGUCCGGAGGGACCUCGGGCUCCGCUCCUCGCAGCCCCCCCGCCCCCAUCCCGACUCGUGGUGAGGCUCUCGGGCAGUCACAGGGAGGAAGAAACGAAUCGGUGGUGGAAGAAAAGGUGAUUAAAUUAAAUUACUUUGGGGAUUAUGGGCCACAUGCGGCGUAUUAAAGUGCUUUAAGCUACUUUGUAGCUUCUUUGGCAUUAGGGCGUUUAAUGCGGGCUCGGUCGGUGCCCGAGUGCUUUGCUGGGUGAGAAAGAGUCGGGUGGGAGAAGGAUGGGACGCCGAGAAAAAGGAGGCGGGGGCAGAACGGAGAGCUCGGGCUCUGGGAACUUUGCUUUGCUCCACGUAAACAAAAUCGGGCUUUAAUUUGCCGUGUUAUAAACAAUAUUUUUUCUAAUCGGGGUCACUGGUACGAAAGGAAAAUGACCGUCUGUAGGCAGGGAUCCGAAAUGGGUAAUGCCGCCCAGGCAGCGUGCUUUGCUUAUUGCCGAUGGGGCUCGGGGACAGCCACUGCCAGAUCCCGGGGUGCAGUGCCCGGCCGGGACGAGGGCACAAAAGUCGGAGCUUUGAAGCUGAGGAAGGAGAAACCCGAUUCCUUUCCCAGAUCCUUCUUUCCCCCGUGCACGAGCAGUUCGGUCGGGGCAGUGCGUCGGCUGUCGGCAGAUGUCUGAGAUCGAGGUUCGGAUCUGCAGGGAAAGCAGCAGCGUGGGGAGCUCCUGAAAUCACGGCAGCGUGUGUAACAUUUCUCACUUGGUUCUGGAUGUGCCCAGAGGGAAAGGAGGGGGCAAGGGGAGGACGAGGGGGGUCCUCUCUUGUUUUACCUUAAGGCAAAUACCUCUUUCAUGAUCGAGGGAAGAGGCAGCAGUUUUUUUUUGCAGUGGUGCAAGGAGUGCUUGUUGCUAGAAAUGCUUCCCAUUUUGUUCCUGAAAAGUGCGCCAGAUGUACUGGAGAUCUCGCACCGCUUUAUUUAUGCAAUGCGACGUGAGGGGAGGGGGGCGUGCUCGGUCCCCGGUGCAGCCGAGUUGGCUAAAUUUGCUGUGCUGUGCUGCAAAGGCUGCGUGCUGAUUUAUCCCACUGGCAGGGCAGAGGGGCCUCUCCUCACUGCUGCAUCCCUGCUCCCUGAGGAUGCUGCACAGAAAGCCCACUGCCCGCAGCGUGCCCUGUGCUCAGCUGAACCCGUGUUAGCCAAAGGGCUGGGGGGCUGCGCGUCCCACUCUGGGGGAUGGCCGUGUGCUGCCGGGCUCAUGCAGACUGCAGCAGAAGCUCCCUGCUCUGCCACAGCCCGGCCCCAGGCACAGGGAUGGGAGCACGGAGCCCUCACUGCGAGCAGAUGGGGGUGAGUUAAUGGGGUACACCCCGUGGGCAGGGGCUGGGGAAGUUCUUGCCCUGCAGUCAGGUUUGCUUCUGUUACAAAGAGUUCUUAAAACAUAAUAAAUAGAGCAGAGAGAAAACAAGCGUUUCCCUAAGUGGGACCACACUGCUCUUCCCAGCUGCCCGAGGAACAGAAUGUUUUGAUGAAAUCAAUGAUGAUGUAUAGCAAACGAUUUUACUCUUAACCAGCUGCCACCUUAUUUUCUGCCAUGUUGAUCUAUUCAGACACACGAACACUUUCUCUUCCUUAAGAAUAUACAUUUGCUAGAGGAGAAUCAUCAAAAACUCGGUGAAUAAUUUCUAUGUAUCAGCGCUGUCCGAAGAGAAAGCAGCACUCGUAAUCGGAAAGCAAACCGUCUGGAGACAGCACUGGGAGGGCUGCAAUGCUGUCCCUCUGGUUUCCCCUCGAAGGGCCGUUCCCCCUGCCCAUGCCACACACACAGCCUGUGGCAGGCACAGAGCUUGGCCCCUGGGAAGGGGCAUCGGGACCCGUUGCCCUCUCCCCGUGUGCCCCCUCCUCUGUACAAACUGCUGGUGGCAUCCAGAGGCCUCCGCCGCACCGAGUGAGGUUCACACACUCUCGGGAUCUUUAAUUAGAACCAUGCUGCACGCAGUGCUUUCAUAGCUUCUCCGAUUUAUUAUUUAUGAUUUAAGGCAAAGACAGAACAACAAGAAAAUAUUUUGGCUUUGCUUGCUAUGGAAAAGUGGCGUGAGGUGGCACAGGGCAAUAAACAUAAAAAAAAAAAAAUUAAAGAGAAUUUCCACGGCAGUGCCCACCCGGUGCUGUGUGGGGCUGCUUUGUGCACAGAGCCCCAUCUGCUCGGUCACUGUCAUCACAUGGAGGUGCGAUGUCCACGGCUGGGAUGGGGCAAACACCGCACAGAAGUACGGUGGGGGGGGUUCACGGGCAGAUGCUGCUGCUCUGACAGCAUUUUCUUCCCUGUUAGCCCUCCCUUUAAUCAGCACGGCAGAAAAAGAGACUGCCGCAAGCCCCGUGUUGACAGCGGUCAUUUAAAAUGCUGCGGGGAGAGUGUGACGGACCGUAGCAUUCAGGCUGCAGCACACGGCACUGUGGCUGUGCUGUUUGUUCAGCUCGUUUCCCGGCUGAGAGGUGUGCACCGAGCCGCACACCGCCAGGUCCACUUGGUCCCAGUCGCGCUCUUUGAAGUUCGGGUGUUCGUCGGCACACACACCCUGGGCUUUGCUUCCUAAAAACCCCCAAGAUAGCGGCUGGGAGUGCUGUGCAGUGCUGCGUUCUCCUCCCGGCCGCUGCCAGAAACAACACGGCCGCUCUGCGCGAGGAGCGCGGGACGGGACGGUGCCUGCGCUGUGAGGAGCAGCCCGGGCUGUGCAGCUGCCUUCCCCAGCAGGCAGGCGGCUCUCCGGGGCGCCCUGUGCGUUAGUACAGCACCUCGGUUGGUAGGGGCAGCCCUGAAACUAAGAGGGAAAAUUAAAAUAGGUGCAGCUGCGGCUAUCUCCCAUGGAGAGGGUUCAGAGCGCAAAGUGAAACGGGGAUGCGGCAGAAACUGGGUUACGUGGCUCUGAGUAAAUGCUCUCCCAUCAGAGCAGGAUUUAUUUUGCAUCGCUGCUCUAGAUCUUGUCCUGAGGAUGUUUAACUCACCCAGAGCUGUUUGGCCUCCAGGAUGGAUUCCUACAAUUACAUGUUUAUGAUUGCGAGCGCUGCCACGGGAAGCAGCAGGCGGAUAUCAUUUUGGGAGUGCUGAGAGGCACGGAGGGAGCUGGAGAGCUUUCUCCUGGGCUUCAGCCACUGCUACACUUCGGAGGGAGGCUGCAGCACACUUGGGGCCUGAGGUGCUGCUGCACUUAGCAGCUUGAACAACAAGGCAUCGGAUGGGUAUUACUGCAUCGCUGUAAUUUUAAACUUCUUCCACGUAGUGACAACGUGCAGCCUGGGGCUGUGUGCAGUGCUCACCUCAGACAUAUUCUCAGACCGCUCACGGCAGGCGAUGAACGCGGCCUGCCCGAGGCCCUACGGCUGGAGGCCUGCAGGGCUGGGCACGGCCUCCCACAGCCCCCCGCACUGCCCAGCCUCAGUGACCUGCCCAGCACCCACCUGCUGCCCCCAGGAUUCUUGGGGCACCUCAGUCACACUCUGCGGCACAGAGCCUGGGGAUGCCCGGCUGUGGGAGCCCCGGCUGGUACGAGCCAUAUCCGAGGCUGGACUGCGGGCAUCUAUCUCAGCCAUCUGCCUGCAGACCCAUGCCAGAUGUGGCUCAAAGUCCUCAGAUGCCCUCUGCUGCCAUGGACCAGAAUUAACAGAUGGCUCCGUGUAACCGGGUUCAGAUUUGCUGAAGUUUGCUAUUAUCUCUGCUUUUGUAAAUGGAUGGGGGAGGGGAAAUAAUAUCUGGGAUUAUUACAAAACAGGCAGAGCUUUUCAAAAAGUGUUAAGUCUGGGUCUGGGUCCCUUCUGACUGUGAAUACCAUGUCCUGUAUUUCAAAAUGUUAACACUAUUUUUAGCUUUCUCUUUAGAGCUCCCUCCCCUGAUAGCUUAGCCCUCUGGGUAUGAGUUUGGCCCAGCGAGCCACCCAGGGCACGGCACACUUUGCCCCAGCAUUUCGGGCCCCAUUGUGUCUGAUGGAACCAACCCUGCUGCUGUAGCGGGGCUCUACUCAGGGCAGGCUCUGAGGGACGCAUUCAGCUGCUCCAUAUCCCUCUGCAUCACAUGGGCCAGUAUGUGGGGGUCUGUGUCUGAAGUGGGACAGGUGGCACCUAUGUCCCACAUGCGUGCCUGUGUCAGGGCAGGUCUGCGUGUGGGGACACACGCAACAGCCGUAGGUCAAACACAACAGAUCCUGGAAGGGAUCCCUUGGCAAGCUCCAAGGAUUGAGCAGCUUCACUGUGCCUGAGCUUUCGCUGUGCCUGAGCUUUUGCUGUGUUUCUCACAGCAGCUCCUAUGAGGAAAAGCCAACUGAGCUUCCCCACCUAAGCUCCCAGCCUGGUUCCUAAUGGAGGGGAGCAAGGUGGUCUGUGUCCCCUCUGUGUACAGUGCCAAAGCCACCUAUGUCCUGGGGCCAGCCACUCGCUGGGACAGGAUGGGAUGGGAUGGGAUGGGCUUUCCCUGCCAUCCUCCACUUUUAGCCACACAGUUCUAUGCUGCUUGCAUUGUUCUAAAGCUUGCUUUCUUUUCUUUCUUUCUUUCUUUUUUUUAUUCUAGAGGAUAAUCUUGAAUUUACAGAAGUCCAUGGCAAAACCUGGUUGUGAAUGGGGGCUUUGUUCUGCAAGACUAUUUCUGAAGACUCCUGGCUCUCUGUCCACCUUUGCGUACGAGGCUGACACAUGGAUCUGUCCACCCACGCUGUGCCCAGCAGCAUGCCCCCUCCUUCCAGCUGCCCUCUUGCAGGGAUGCACACGGCUCUCCGGACUGUGGGCUGCAUCCUGUCAUUGUGGCAAACCUGUGGAGCUGUGCUGGUUUAUAAAACCUGACAGCAUGGUCCAUUGCAUUUAUAAUUUCUAAAUCCAUAUUUUUCCAAUUUUUUUUCCUGCAGUGGCAAGUUUUUUCUAUCCAUCUGGGAGCAGAAUCCUGUGCUUCGCGUAUGUAAAUAACAGCUGUUUCCACUCGAUUGCAUUUAUGUACUUAACACUUCAAAAUAGAUUUAUUCUAGAAGUUUCACAAUCUAGUCACCAUCCCUACUUAGACAGAGGUACCGGGGAGAGGUUAAUGAAACCCCUCUGGACUGGCUGACAAAAGGAUACAGCUGCAGAGCUGGAAUCCCCACAUGGGAUGGAUUGCUGAUGCUGACAGCUGUGCUCCAAUGCAUGUGGAGGUGACUUCAACUCCUGAGACACCCUCAGCUCCGGCUCCUGGGGCUGCUGAGGGAGUAGCAGGGUGCCGGGUGAGGAGAAGAGCUGUGCUGAACUGGUAGUGCCUUCCUGGCAAAGUUAAUUUGUCAUGUAGAGCAGCUGAACAGGGGAAAAAAUGGUAAAAGCUCAUCUGCCAGUGUCACAGAUUUUUAAGUGAAUUAACAUAUUGCAUCCUGAGAAGAAAAAGCAGCUCUUUAAUGCUCUGAUAUGUCUUUUGUUGCUAUGUUGCUAGCUCUGAAAUGAAAAUGCAGCCUUUUUAUUUUAAGAUGUGUCAAUGAAGAUUUCAAAAAAUUAAUGUCCAAUUAUUAUUUUUGUCCAGAAACCUCAUUGUUUUCCCAAAUGCCUCAACCUGAGCUAUUUCAUUAGACUUCUUGGAUCCUCCGGAGGCUGAGGAUUACAGAACAUUGAUCUUUAGUUACCCUUCAUUCAUUCCAUUUACUCUGAUGCAGGCUGCUGAAAGAAUUAUUUGUUCCUAAAUCCUGACUUUUUUAUGUUACUGUAUUUUUUUAAUUUUGUUUAUCCAGAAGGAAAAUACUUUGAUGUUUACUGCCAUCUCAACUGGAACACCUGUGAACUAGGCAGGACGAUGCUGAGGACUUCAGCUGUGUGGAGAGAGCAAUAACAAUGAGUGAGCUGUUGCUCUCACACAUCCUGACAUGCCUGCGCUGGAGUAUUUAUAGGAGGAGCAAAGAGGAGCUGAGGUUGGGUUGUCUGUGAGAAGAGCCACCUGCUCCCACACGGCGUGUCUGUAUUUCUGGAUAAGAACAUUCCUGAUGCCAGGAGGACCAGCUUACAGCCUUGCCAACAUGGUUCCACCUAGGGCUCCUCCUGCUUCCCUGCCCCACAGCGCUCCCUGGACUCUGUGGUGCCCAGUGGAUCCAAUGUGGAAUGAUGCCUUUUUGUGUUUCUUUCAGUUCAGAGCAUCUGAAAUGAGGUGAAACCACUCUGCAGCCUUCGAGAAUGGCGCUUCCCUAGUGUGAACGUGAGCUACCUGGAAUUAUCAGAUGGAACCAUGGGCUCAUCAGAAGAGGGACUAUAAAGAUGCAUAAAAUAAGCAACUGUUAUUUCUUUGGAAUAAAUAGAAUGAAAGAAAAAAAUGUAACAGCUUCACUACUAACUUUUAGCAAUGGAGGGCUGAUUAGACAAAAGGAGGUGAGAGAUUAAAAUCCUAUGCACAAUUAUUAAGUGGGUGCAUUACUGCAUGCAGAGAACAAAAACCGGGAAGUUAGAAAGCUCUUGCAGUGGAGGCAAAACACAUUGCUUCAUUUGCUCAGCAAGAGAAAACUGCUUAUUCUUUAAAAUAUUUUGCUGACUUUCUCGUCUCUUCAUUCAGAACUUCUGUAUAUGGACUAUAUGCUAGUAAAGUAAAGUAUGUUUAAGCAGAGUACUUCUACAUUUUUGUCCUCAAACUGUUCCCCUACCCCCCCAAGUCAAUCAACCAAAAAAUAAUUCCCAAACACCGGAAGACUCCUUUUAUUUGCUACGAUAUAGGCAUCUAAGUCUCCACUAAGCUCCACCUCCCUUCACAGAAGAGAGAAAAGCACCUCCAGAGAACAAUGUGUGUCUUAGUCUAGGCCUUUUUUUUUUAAAGGGGAUUUACUGCCUUAUUGAGGUACUUUGUAUGCAUGCCUAUUGACUAUAAGGUGAGUCUACAACAGUUAACUCAGGUUUAGAUGUCUAAUUAGCAGUUGCCUCAAUGUUAGGUACGCAAUUAGCCUGAACUUUAUUCUAGUGAAAAGUGGGCUCUGAGUCAAUUUAUUAUAUGGUAGUAUUAAAGUGAAACAUGCAUCCUCCAUUACAGAAGAGGAAUGCAGCCUGCACAGCCUAUGUCUGCUUGAUCAUAUAACCUUGUACUGUUUUCCAGGAUGGAACGAGAAUGUGGGAAAUUGUAACAACGCGCAAUGAAAAUUGGAAUAACUGAGAAAGGCAGUGUUGGCAUCAAAAAGAAAUUAUUACAGUGACAUAUUAUAGAGCUGCAGUGAAGAGUUAAUGGUGGCACAGCAGAAUUUGGUGAUGUCAGGUGAAAUCCAGGCCCUUCCAACAGCUAGUUUUUCCAUGGGGCUGAAUAGCUGCACAGGGGUGGGGGAUGGGGUGGCUAACCACUCCUUCCAUUCUUGUCUUGAGGAACUGAAGCAUACAGACAUGAAACUUGUCAAAUGGGCACAUUUGGCACUGCUGUACUAUUGACUCAUUUUUUCAAAACCGGAAGGGUUGGGUGGCUUUUUUUGUUGUUGUUUAAUAAGCAUGAAGAAAGAUACAUCUCUGUGAUACAUGAGAAAAGUCAAAUAGUUCAAAGCAAACAGAAAAGUGCAAGAAAAGAGCCUUUGGCCCUUUGAAUCCAAGCACUUUCAGGCCUCCUAGCAAAUAUCUUAUUCUUCAGUACUUGCAAAUUUAAUUAAAUAGCAGCUGGUGCAUGUCUCUCGUAGUGCUUAAGUCCCACAAUACAGCUAUAUUAUCUAUGGCUUCGGACAAAUCUCGUAGAGCCAUUGUGCAAGAUUGCCUCCCGGUGGUGGUACCACGAACCUGCAGAAUGACAUAAUUUGCACACAGAAAAGGCAAAAAAAAAAAAAGAAAAGAAAAAGAAAAAAAAAAAAGAAAACAAACACCUGUUUUAAAAGAAUGCUUCCUUUUUGAAUUCAGGUCUGAGUAAGUGAAAAAUUUCAGUGUGAUUUAAAUGGCCUGAAUUGAAGGCAAACCUUUUGAUAUUUGACUGAAGCAGAGUUUUCUAGUGGAAUAGCAUACUGACAAGGAAAGCUCAAUGAGACUUUAAGACAUUGGGAAAAAUUAAAAAUCAGUAAGAUGUACCCAGUUGCACACUACCCGCAGCAACGAGCCUCUUGAAGGCUGAAACAGUAACAAUUAAGCGCAAGGCAAAUGGCUGAGUGCCCUAACUCCAAUACAAAAACACUACAGCAGAUUUCCCAUUCCACCAAUUCUAUGCAGCUCAAAUUUUCAGUUACAAAGUUAACGGAAGAGACAAGAGAACAACAAGUCCCAAACUACCUUUCAAAUUGAUUGUUCUUUUAGGUAAAAGCAGGAAAAGUCUCGAGCAGAUGAAUUUCUAAUUCCAAGUCUUCAAGUAAAGAGAAACACACAGUUAAAGACAGCUUUAUGUAGCCGUUCAGGACCAUGAAAGCCUGGAGGAGAGCUUGAAAUCACUGUGGGAGUAGGAGUUUAGUUGGGUCACGCUUCAGAUGACCCAGACGAAAGAUUUAGUAUAAGAAAACAGAAAUAUUGGCAGCGUAGUGCAGGGAAAGAUUUUAAAACACCCAUUUUAUGGAUUAACGUAACAACAAAUUGGCAGAGGGUACAUGCAGUGAGCGUGUCUUAGACUCGCUCAGUUUCCAGUAACUGGUCAGAAGGGAAGUACUUUAAAUCAGACAGCAGUCCCACAUGUAACAGAUUUUUAGUCCUCCUUUCUUAAACUGGAAUGAAAUCAAGCAGAGACAAAUGAGGUCUCAGCUUUCCAGAAAUAAGGGUCAUUCAGUUUUACACAGUGGAAUAUAACAAAACAGUGAGUGUGCAAUGUCAGCUUCUCACAUGUGGGCCUGUGUCAGUAACAGGCACCAUAAACUGAUGCAAAUGCUAAAAUUUGCCACACCACUGAUUACUAAAAACCCUUCAAAAAGUGAUAUUAUAGGCAGAAGAAUAAUUAUUUUUGUUCAGUUGAAUUUGCAAAGCAAGCAGCCCUCCUUUCCAUAAACACAAUAAGCAUUCCUUCAUGACAGCAUGCCUGUUAUCACGUGAGCAACACACUGUAUCACAUGAAGCCCGAAUCAUCAGGCUGACGUAGGAUUAAACACGGCAUCAGAUUAACAUACAAGCGUAGCAAAGAGAAGCAGAACUAUUUCAUGCUGUGCCAGGGUAAACCAUUAUCGGCUAACCAGCAUUAAGUUUUAAAAAUGACAUUCAACAAAUACUUAGACUAGCUUGGCAAAGUUUUCCAGGUCUUAAAGGCAGCUUCCUUAUUGCACGCAUCUGACAUUCACUUUAGACAAUCAAAGCAUUCAAGGAAAAUAAGUUAUUUAAUAACUCUAGAAAAAGCAGGUUCACUUCACACUAAAACGACCAGAAUUAAAGACUUUAUACGGUACUCAUCUUAAGCAAAAUGUACGGAUAACACAAGCUGGCAAAAUGACACUAGAUGAAUGCAAGAAACAAGUACCUUCCUAUCUUAUCCAAGUUGCCUUGGAAAGGAAGUGAGAUCAAAAUGUAUGAGUUUGGAGAUUUUUUUUUUAAUCAGUAUUUAUUCAGAUGCACAAAGACAAUGAUGUCACUGGGAGCUCCGUGGAGGCAUAACGCUCCAAGCUGGCACUUUCUAUUGGAAGGUUGAUCCCUAAAACUGUAGACUGGAGUAAAGAAUCUCCUAUUUCUGAGAAAAGAAAAACAACAACAGUAGAUGACAAUAGUUUAUUAGCAGAAACAUUUAAGCACUGCAAGGUGCUAAAGCUAUGAAGUAGAUUAAAACCACGUUUCUUGAAUUUAAAGCAUUUGAAGGACCAGUCCUUCCCCCUUGGUAAGCUGGAAAGAGCUAGGUAUCUUCACUGAAUGAUUACUGGGCUAAAGCAAAGAACUAUUCCUCCCCUGAGCUACAUCUAUUUAAUUUAUACACGAACAUAUGUAGCAUCCUAACUGAGCAAUAGUUAAGGUGAAUUUAAAAUAAUAAAAGUAAAGCCAAACAUACACAAAAAUAUCUCAAAUAUGUGGGAAUACUGAAUGAUUAAAGGGGGAGUGAUGCCUUGGAAGCUGAAGUUUAACCAAGUUGCACAGCUUUCAAUGUAAGAAAAGAGCCCUAAAUUCUUUCAACGUCAGUAUUCAAAGCUCGUCUGCAGUUCAAUUAUUAGAUUUCUAAAAUAAGAAACCACAGCAUGUCCAGUUCUAGAACUCCCACUCUGAAACACUGCUUCUAUGCAUUCACUUUAGUAACAAUAAGCCUCUGACCUAGUUUAAUCAGAGCACUCCAUCAUCUGUUACAUCCAGUUCUAAGACCGGCACAUUCUCUUAUCCUACAUGCACGGUAUUCCUCAGAGUCCUUAUUUCACUAAUGCACUUUUGUUGUUUUUCUACUGUCAGCUAACUGAAACAGGAAAAAAAAUCAAACUUAGUUAAGCAUGGUUUAAUUAAAACACACAUGUAGAACUAA